RNAcentral lists this ribosomal RNA (524 nucleotides) under uncultured bacterium. RNAcentral's name for it is "partial 16S ribosomal RNA". It matches the Rfam family "Bacterial small subunit ribosomal RNA", at positions 28 to 523 of the family's 1533-position model. The record is from RNAcentral.
GACGAACGCUGGCGGCGUGCUUAACACAUGCAAGUCGAACGAGACGAUUGAAAGCUUGCUUUUGAAAGUCGAGUGGCAAACGGGUGAGUAACGCGUAGACAACCUGCCUUUGAGAUGGGGACAACAGUUCGAAAGGACUGCUAAUACCGAAUGUUGUAUAUUUUCCACAUGGAAGAUAUAUUAAAGAUGGCCUCUAUUUAUAAGCUAUCGCUCAAAGAUGGGUCUGCGUCUGAUUAGCUAGUUGGUGGGGUAACGGCCUACCAAGGCGACGAUCAGUAGCCGGUCUGAGAGGAUGAACGGCCACAUUGGGACUGAGACACGGCCCAGACUCCUACGGGAGGCAGCAGUGGGGAAUCUUCCACAAUGGACGAAAGUCUGAUGGAGCAACGCCGCGUGAGUGAAGAAGGGUUUCGGCUCGUAAAGCUCUGUUGUCGGGGACGAAUGUGCAGUAUUUGAAUAAAGUACUGUAAUGACGGUACCUGACGAGGAAGCCACGGCUAACUCCGUGCCAGCCGCCGCUGUAA